AGGAGUCGCUCUGGAGAGCCCCCCCCUCAGGCGUGGGGGACCCCAGUCAUCCCAGGCCGGGGCAACCCAGGAAUGGACAGGAAGACUUCUGGAUCCUCACCCCCCACCGGCGCUGUCAGCAUCUUCAGCUGCUCCAUAGCUCUGUGUAAAAAGACUGGAAGGAAACACUCCGGGAGAGGUUCCCUCUGGAAGCUUCAGGAGCCGGUUGUGGCUCUGCCGGAUGGAGCUGCCCAGCUUCCCCAGGGCAGCUGCCUCCUCUUUCUCCACGAAAUCCAAGACCUUCAUCUGCAGCUGUGUGACCUCCUGGAUGAUCUCUGAGAAGCAGGCGUUCACCUCAUCUCGUGUUGUCUGGAUCAUUUUCUUGGGAGCCCAAUGCAGGGCACUGGGGAAGCCUGGACCUGGCGUGGGCCAACCUUACCGAGAGAAAGGCCACCUGCCCGCGGUGCUUCUGGCUGUCAGAAGUGAUGAUCAACAUCUGGUUCUCCACGUUGGCCUGGACCUUCCGAACCUCGACCUGGGCCCUAGUUGCUGGAACAAAUCCUGGACAAGAGGGUGGAUGAGCAGAAAGUUACAUAGUGACAAAGGAAAGGAGCCACUUCCUUGACCCUUCGGAAGAAAAGACCACCCACAAUUUUGCUCCCUGAUGUCACAAUUCAAGCGUGAUCAGCCCCAGUGUUCUGCCUGUGAUGUCAGCAGGGUAAAAGUUGUGCCCCUGGACAUGCCACGGUGCUGAUGCAGUCUGCCCUUCCACCAGCAAUUCUUUACUCCAGAGCCUUCAUCCCAGGCGGGAGAGUUGCGGCUGCACCUGGGGCCACUUGCAGUGGACGUCAGGGACUCACCAUACCAACCACAGAAGGAAAAUGGCAACUAAAUGACAGUAGAUUCUUGGGCAACUUGUUUAAUCUCUCUGGACCACAGCUCUUCUCUGAGCAUCAACAGAGUUGUUGUAGGAGAUGAUGUUUUAAGGCCCCUUCUUGGCCUAAAGUUGAGUGAUCCCAACAUUAUCUCAUUGGUGAUCCUAAAUAUUGUUGCUUCCACUCUGGUUCUGAUUCUCAGAAGAAAAAAAGGGAUGCAACCAUCACCACUAUCCAUAUCCAAAACUGUUUCAUCACCCCUAACAGAAACUUUAUAACCAUUAAGCAAUAAUUCCUCAUUUGCCUCUCCCUUGAGCCCCUGGUAACCUCUAAUCUAUUUUCUGUCACUAUGAAUUUGCCUAUUUUAGAUAUUUCAUAAGACUGAAAUUAUACAUUUGUCCUUUUGAGUCUGGCUUAUUUCACUUAGAUAAUGUUUUCAAGGUUUAUCCAUGUUAUGGCAUGUAUCCAAAUUUCAUUCGUGUUUGUGGCUGGAUCAUAUUCCACUAUAUACCACAUUUUUUUUAUCCUUUUAUCUGCUGAUGGACACUUGGGUUUCUUCUACCUUUUGGCUAGUGUGAAUAAUGCUGCUAUGAAAUAGGUGUACAAGUAUCUAUUUGAGUCCCUGCUUUCUUUUGGGUAUAUACCUAAGAGAAUCACUUACAAUCCUUAGAGAGACUGUAGGCUCUGUAGUUGUGUCUCCUUUUAACAUUCCAGAUGUCAUUUGUAUUGUCUUUUUCUGCGAUGAGUCCCAUUAGGAGUUUAUCCAUUUUGUCCAUCUUUUUAAAGAAUCAGCUUUUGGUUUGAUGGUUCUGUUGUAUGUUUGUUUUCUAUGUAAUUGAUUUCUGCUCUGCUCUAUAUUAUUUCCUUCCUUUUACUUUCUUUGGGUUGAAUUUGCUGUUGUAAGUUCCUGAGAUGGACAUAAUGAUUUUUAGCCUUUCUUACCUGUUUUUUUUUUUUUUUUUAAAGAUUGGCAC
This is a non-coding RNA of Equus caballus (horse), 1828 nucleotides long. NCBI's taxonomy places the organism in Eukaryota, Metazoa, Chordata, Mammalia, Perissodactyla, Equidae. The record is from RefSeq and is a predicted model, not a curated record.